CAGUCGCCGCGGUAAUACAGAGGGUGCGAGCGUUAAUCGGAUUUACUGGGCGUAAAGCGUGCGUAGGCGGCUUCUUAAGUCGGAUGUGAAAUCCCUGAGCUUAACUUAGGAAUUGCAUUCGAUACUGGGAAGCUAGAGUAUGGGAGAGGAUGGUAGAAUUCCAGGUGUAGCGGUGAAAUGCGUAGAGAUCUGGAGGAAUACCGAUGGCGAAGGCAGCCAUCUGGCCUAAUACUGACGCUGAGGUACGAAAGCAUGGGGAGCAAACAGGAUUAGAGACCCCUGUAGUCCCUGUCUCUUAUCA
RNAcentral lists this ribosomal RNA (301 nucleotides) under uncultured bacterium. RNAcentral's name for it is "partial 16S ribosomal RNA". It matches the Rfam family "Bacterial small subunit ribosomal RNA", at positions 509 to 809 of the family's 1533-position model. The record is from RNAcentral.